RNAcentral lists this ribosomal RNA (521 nucleotides) under uncultured archaeon. RNAcentral's name for it is "bacterial SSU rRNA". It matches the Rfam family "Archaeal small subunit ribosomal RNA", at positions 325 to 849 of the family's 1478-position model. The record is from RNAcentral.
ACGGGGUGCAGCAGGCGCGAAAACUUCGCAAUGCGGGAAACCGCGACGAGGGUAUUCCAAGUGCUAUUGCAAUGCAAUAGCUUUUCAAAAGCCUAAAAAGCUUUUGGAAUAAGGGCUGGGUAAGUCUGGUGCCAGCCGCCGCGGUAAUACCAGCAGCUCAAGUGGUGGUCGAUAUUAUUGAGCCUAAAGCGUCCGUAGCCGGACGGGUAAAUUCUUGGGUAAAUCGAACAGCUCAACUGUUCGACUUCCGAGAAGACUGCCCGUCUUGGGACUGGGAGAGGUCGGAGGUACUCUAGGGGUAGGGGUGAAAUCCUGUAAUCCUUAGAGGACCACCAGUGGCGAAGGCGUCCGACUAGAACGGGUCCGACGGUGAGGGACGAAGCCCAGGGGCGCGAACCGGAUUAGAUACCCGGGUAGUCCUGGCCGUAAACGAUGCAUACUAGGUGAUGGCACGGCCAUGAGCCGUGUCAGUGCCGUAGGGAAACCGUUAAGUGUGCCGCCUGGGAAGUACGUCGCAAGGC